Molecule: ribosomal RNA, 1463 nt
Filed under: uncultured Klebsiella sp.
Lineage: Bacteria; Pseudomonadati; Pseudomonadota; Gammaproteobacteria; Enterobacterales; Enterobacteriaceae
Description: bacterial SSU rRNA
Rfam family: Bacterial small subunit ribosomal RNA
Source: RNAcentral
AUUGAACGCUGGCGGCAGGCCUAACACAUGCAAGUCGAGCGGUAGCACAGAGAGCUUGCUCUCGGGUGACGAGCGGCGGACGGGUGAGUAAUGUCUGGGAAACUGCCUGAUGGAGGGGGAUAACUACUGGAAACGGUAGCUAAUACCGCAUAAUGUCGCAAGACCAAAGUGGGGGACCUUCGGGCCUCAUGCCAUCAGAUGUGCCCAGAUGGGAUUAGCUAGUAGGUGGGGUAAUGGCUCACCUAGGCGACGAUCCCUAGCUGGUCUGAGAGGAUGACCAGCCACACUGGAACUGAGACACGGUCCAGACUCCUACGGGAGGCAGCAGUGGGGAAUAUUGCACAAUGGGCGCAAGCCUGAUGCAGCCAUGCCGCGUGUGUGAAGAAGGCCUUCGGGUUGUAAAGCACUUUCAGCGGGGAGGAAGGCGAUAAGGUUAAUAACCUUGUCGAUUGACGUUACCCGCAGAAGAAGCACCGGCUAACUCCGUGCCAGCAGCCGCGGUAAUACGGAGGGUGCAAGCGUUAAUCGGAAUUACUGGGCGUAAAGCGCACGCAGGCGGUCUGUCAAGUCGGAUGUGAAAUCCCCGGGCUCAACCUGGGAACUGCAUUCGAAACUGGCAGGCUAGAGUCUUGUAGAGGGGGGUAGAAUUCCAGGUGUAGCGGUGAAAUGCGUAGAGAUCUGGAGGAAUACCGGUGGCGAAGGCGGCCCCCUGGACAAAGACUGACGCUCAGGUGCGAAAGCGUGGGGAGCAAACAGGAUUAGAUACCCUGGUAGUCCACGCCGUAAACGAUGUCGAUUUGGAGGUUGUGCCCUUGAGGCGUGGCUUCCGGAGCUAACGCGUUAAAUCGACCGCCUGGGGAGUACGGCCGCAAGGUUAAAACUCAAAUGAAUUGACGGGGGCCCGCACAAGCGGUGGAGCAUGUGGUUUAAUUCGAUGCAACGCGAAGAACCUUACCUGGUCUUGACAUCCACAGAACUUUCCAGAGAUGGAUUGGUGCCUUCGGGAACUGUGAGACAGGUGCUGCAUGGCUGUCGUCAGCUCGUGUUGUGAAAUGUUGGGUUAAGUCCCGCAACGAGCGCAACCCUUAUCCUUUGUUGCCAGCGGUUCGGCCGGGAACUCAAAGGAGACUGCCAGUGAUAAACUGGAGGAAGGUGGGGAUGACGUCAAGUCAUCAUGGCCCUUACGACCAGGGCUACACACGUGCUACAAUGGCAUAUACAAAGAGAAGCGACCUCGCGAGAGCAAGCGGACCUCAUAAAGUAUGUCGUAGUCCGGAUUGGAGUCUGCAACUCGACUCCAUGAAGUCGGAAUCGCUAGUAAUCGUAGAUCAGAAUGCUACGGUGAAUACGUUCCCGGGCCUUGUACACACCGCCCGUCACACCAUGGGAGUGGGUUGCAAAAGAAGUAGGUAGCUUAACCUUCGGGAGGGCGCUUACCACUUUGUGAUUCAUGACUGGGGUGA